ACUCCUGCGGGAGGCAGCAGUGAGGAAUAUUGGACAAUGGGUGGAAGCCUGAUCCAGCCAUCCCGCGUGCAGGAAGACGGCCCUAUGGGUUGUAAACUGCUUUUAUCUGGGGAUAAACCUACUUACGUGUAAGUAGCUGAAGGUACCAGAAGAAUAAGCACCGGCUAACUCCGUGCCAGCAGCCGCGGUCAUACGGAGGGUGCAAGCGUUAUCCGGAUUUAUUGGGUUUAAAGGGUCCGUAGGCGGACUGAUAAGUCAGUGGUGAAAUCCGACAGCUUAACUGUCGAACUGCCAUUGAUACUGUUAGUCUUGGGUAAGGUUGAAGUGGCUGGAAUAAGUAGUGUAGCGGUGAAAUGCAUAGAUAUUACUUAGAACACCAAUUGCGAAGGCAGGUCACUAAGUCUUAACUGACGCUGAUGGACGAAAGCGUGGGGAGCGAACAGGAUUAGAUACCCCGGUAGUCCCAUG
RNAcentral lists this ribosomal RNA (468 nucleotides) under uncultured organism. RNAcentral describes it as "partial 16S ribosomal RNA". It matches the Rfam family "Bacterial small subunit ribosomal RNA", at positions 335 to 799 of the family's 1533-position model. The record is from RNAcentral.